UGGGGAAUUUUGGACAAUGGGGGAAACCCUGAUCCAGCCAUCCCGCGUGUGCGAUGAAGGCCUUCGGGUUGUAAAGCACUUUUGGCAGGGAAGAAACGGCGCUGGUUAAUACCUGGCGUCACUGACGGUACCUGCAGAAUAAGCACCGGCUAACUACGUGCCAGCAGCCGCGGUAAUACGUAGGGUGCAAGCGUUAAUCGGAAUUACUGGGCGUAAAGCGUGCGCAGGCGGUUUGGCAAGAAGGAUGUGAAAUCCCAGGGCUUAACCUUGGAACUGCAUUCUUAACUGCCAGGCUAGAGUAUGUCAGAGGGGGGUAGAAUUCCACGUGUAGCAGUGAAAUGCGUAGAUAUGUGGAGGAAUACCGAUGGCGAAGGCAGCCCCCUGGGAUAAUACUGACGCUCAUGCACGAAAGCGUGGGGAGCAAACAGG
RNAcentral lists this ribosomal RNA (429 nucleotides) under uncultured bacterium. RNAcentral's name for it is "bacterial SSU rRNA". It matches the Rfam family "Bacterial small subunit ribosomal RNA", at positions 355 to 776 of the family's 1533-position model. The record is from RNAcentral.